ACGUAGGUGGCAAGCGUUGUCCGGAAUUACUGGGUGUAAAGGGAGCGCAGGCGGGGAAGCAAGUUGGGAGUGAAAUCUAUGGGCUUGACCCAUAAAUUGCUUUCAAAACUGUUUUUCUUGAGUAGUGCAGAGGUAGGCGGAAUUCCCGGUGUAGCGGUGGAAUGCGUAGAUAUCGGGAGGAACACCAGUGGCGAAGGCGGCCUACUGGGCACCAACUGACGCUGAGGCUCGAAAGUAUGGGUAGCAAACAG
Molecule: ribosomal RNA, 251 nt
Filed under: uncultured prokaryote
Description: partial 16S rRNA
Rfam family: Bacterial small subunit ribosomal RNA
Source: RNAcentral